AUACGUAGGGGGCGAGCGUUGUCCGGAAUGAUUGGGCGUAAAGGGCGCGUAGGCGGCGCGGUAAGUCUGGAGUGAAAGUCCUGCUUUCAAGGUGGGAAUUGCUUUGGAUACUGCCGCGCUUGAGUGCAGGAGAGGUUAUCGGAAUUCCCGGUGUCGCGGUGAAAUGCGUAGAGAUCGGGAGGAACACCAGUGGCGAAGGCGGGUAACUGGACUGCAACUGACGCUGAGGCGCGAAAGUGUGGGGAGCAAACAGGAUUAGAUACCCUGGUAGUCCACACUGUAAACGAUGAAUGCUAGGUGUAAGAGGUAUCGACCCCUUUUGUGCCGGAGUCAACACAAUAAGCAUUCCGCCUGGGGAGUACGGCCGCAAGGUUGAAACUUAAAGGAAUUGGCGGGG
This 397-nucleotide ribosomal RNA is filed under the name uncultured bacterium. Its description in RNAcentral is "partial 16S ribosomal RNA". It matches the Rfam family "Bacterial small subunit ribosomal RNA", at positions 523 to 918 of the family's 1533-position model. The record is from RNAcentral.